GUGCUUGGUUCAGCACAUAUACUAACAUUGGAAUGAUACAGAGAAGAUUAUCAUGGCCCCUGCGCAAGGAUGACAGGCAAAUUCAUGAAGCAUUCCAUAUUUUU
This 104-nucleotide small nuclear RNA is filed under the name Sus scrofa (pig). The record is from RNAcentral. Lineage: Eukaryota; Metazoa; Chordata; Mammalia; Artiodactyla; Suidae.